This is a long non-coding RNA of Ictalurus punctatus (channel catfish), 320 nucleotides long. The record is from Ensembl. NCBI's taxonomy places the organism in Eukaryota, Metazoa, Chordata, Actinopteri, Siluriformes, Ictaluridae.
UUUCACUGUGCUCUACUGUAUAUAUGACUCAUUAUUAUAUUAUUAUUAUUAUAAACCGCCAAACAGGACACUAUUCAGACGGCUUCGUUUUGGUGCCGAAUUUUGAAGCACAAUCCCAACAUAAUCUGGUGAGAAGAAUGGUUCCUUGUGUUCGUUCUCGGUAUGUGAGUGUAGAUCAGGACCUGCCUGAUCCAUCUUGAUUCCCUACCUCUGGAUGGAGCUCUCAUCAACUGGAGGCUACAUUCUACCACUGCGAAAGACUCCAAGCGGUGCAGCCUGGAGAUCGCUGAGGACGGUACCGCUUGAAGUACCAUGGAAAU